Trichobilharzia regenti is the source of this 46-nucleotide non-coding RNA. Lineage: Eukaryota; Metazoa; Platyhelminthes; Trematoda; Strigeidida; Schistosomatidae. The record is from Rfam.
GUACUGCUGAGGAGUCCCAAACUAGGACGAAACAACCGUCCAGUAU